UCUUUGGAAUGAAUGGUUGGAGGAGAAAGCCCCGUGAAUAGAUAAGGCAACGAUUAGGAGGGGGUGGGUCUAAGCGCGUAGCGUUACACGAGUGAGCGACCGGCCCGAUUGUUCGGCCGACGCGUCGGGUUGAAAGGUUUCCCUUUUAACAAGGGAAACGUUUAAAACCGGCGCGCCGGCCGAAUCGUUGCGCCGGUCUCACUCGCGCAGCGCAACACAUUUUAUUGGACCCACACACCGCUUGGCUACCUUACCUAUUCAGUCAGCGUGCGAUGCGCUCUCCUCCACUCCUUUUUCUUCUGUCCCCAGAACACAUCUGUGCUAGUUCAUCUCUAUCUGCAUCCUCGCCGGCGCGGCACACAACUCCCAUCCCCCACUUCAAACCAUUUUGUUUCUUACCGAUGUGAGUCACCCCGGAUUUGUGGUGUGCCAGCCACGGCGGCGCCCGGCGUUGACUACUCCGAGCGGCCAGCGCGGCCGCACAACUCUGCUUCCUCGCGCUGGAGUUAGUGUUGUGCUGCCACCGCCGGCGACGAGGCGGACAAGCUUUUGGGUGCUGCAAUCAGUUGCGCCCUUCGACGGCGGAGUUGCAUCCGUGCGCGUCGAAGCUGGAAACGGCGUUUUUGGGAGCUGCAAGCAGUGCAGGUCGGCGGCCGUGACAAGCCAGAGGGUGGUGACGUGAUGGGCGGCGAUCUCGCACGGCUUGGCGGACAACGAUGGCCAUCGUUUUUUACCGGGAGGACGCGACACCAGCGGGGACGCGACCUGUGCCGGGGAUAGAACGAGCGUUGACCAGAUCUGACGGUUGAGGGAAGAUUAAUUCGACGGCUCGCGCUUGACCGGCCGAACUAUUGGGCCGGUGCACCGGCACCUAUCAGUCCCCUUUUAACAAACACAUAUUUUAUUUUGAGAUCUGGGGCUCAUUUAGUUGUGACGUACGCACCAAUUUUAUUUUAUUUUGGAGACAUUAUCCCACAUCAGCAAAGAAAUAAGCUCACCCAUUGUCCGUUAUUUGUUUGUUUUU
Molecule: long non-coding RNA, 1024 nt
Organism: Triticum aestivum (bread wheat)
Lineage: Eukaryota; Viridiplantae; Streptophyta; Magnoliopsida; Poales; Poaceae
Exons: 2
Source: RefSeq, a predicted model, not a curated record